GACGAACGCUGGCGGCGUGCUUAACACAUGCAAGUCGAGCGGUAAGGCCCUUUCGGGGGUACACGAGCGGCGAACGGGUGAGUAACACGUGGGUGACCUGCCCUCAGCUCUGGGAUAAGCCUGGGAAACCGGGUCUAAUACUGGAUAUGACUCCAUGACGCAUGUUGUGGGGUGGAAAGCCUUGUGCGGCUGAGGAUGGGCCCGCGGCCUAUCAGCUUGUUGGUGGGGUGAUGGCCUACCAAGGCGACGACGGGUAGCCGGCCUGAGAGGGCGACCGGCCACACUGGGACUGAGACACGGCCCAGACUCCUACGGGAGGCAGCAGUGGGGAAUCUUGCGCAAUGGGCGAAAGCCUGAUGCAGCAACACCGUGUGGGCGAGGAAGGCCUUUGGGUCGUAAAGCCCUGUUGUUGGGGACGAAGGUCGAAGGGUUAAUAGCCCCUAGACUGACGGUACCCUUCGAGGAAGCCCGGCUAACUACGUGCCAGCCGCCGCCGU
RNAcentral lists this ribosomal RNA (497 nucleotides) under uncultured bacterium. Its description in RNAcentral is "bacterial SSU rRNA". It matches the Rfam family "Bacterial small subunit ribosomal RNA", at positions 28 to 521 of the family's 1533-position model. The record is from RNAcentral.